GUGGUUGUGGCUCAGCGGCAGAGCGCUUGCCUAGCAUGUGUGAAGCACUGGGUUCAAUCCUCAGCACCAUA
Molecule: transfer RNA, 71 nt
Filed under: Marmota monax (woodchuck)
Lineage: Eukaryota; Metazoa; Chordata; Mammalia; Rodentia; Sciuridae
Rfam family: tRNA
About the family: Transfer RNA (tRNA) molecules are approximately 80 nucleotides in length.
Source: Rfam by way of RNAcentral